GGCCUAACACAUGCAAGUCGAACGGAUCCUUCGGGAUUAGUGGCGGACGGGUGAGUAACACGUGGGAAUGUGCCCUUUGGUUCGGAACAACUCAGGGAAACUUGAGCUAAUACCGGAUGUGCCCUUCGGGGGAAAGAUUUAUCGCCAUUGGAGCGGCCCGCGUCGGAUUAGCUAGUUGGUGGGGUAAAGGCCCACCAAGGCGACGAUCCGUAGCUGGUCUGAGAGGAUGAUCAGCCACAUUGGGACUGAGACACGGCCCAAACUCCUACGGGAGGCAGCAGUGGGGAAUCUUGCGCAAUGGGCGAAAGCCUGACGCAGCCAUGCCGCGUGAAUGAUGAAGGUCUUAGGAUUGUAAAAUUCUUUCACCGGGGACGAUAAUGACGGUACCCGGAGAAGAAGCCCCGGCUAACUUCGUGCCAGCAGCCGCGGUAAUACGAAGGGGGCUAGCGUUGCUCGGAAUUACUGGGCGUAAAGGGAGCGUAGGCGGACUGUUUAGUCAGAGGUGAAAGCCCAGGGCUCAACCUUGGAAUUGCCUUUGAUACUGGCAGUCUUGAGUACGGAAGAGGUAUGUGGAACUCCGAGUGUAGAGGUGAAAUUCGUAGAUAUUCGGAAGAACACCAGUGGCGAAGGCGACAUACUGGUCCGUUACUGACGCUGAGGCUCGAAAGCGUGGGGAGCAAACAGGAUUAGAUACCCUGGU
This 700-nucleotide ribosomal RNA is filed under the name uncultured bacterium. Its description in RNAcentral is "bacterial SSU rRNA". It matches the Rfam family "Bacterial small subunit ribosomal RNA", at positions 45 to 791 of the family's 1533-position model. The record is from RNAcentral.